RNAcentral lists this long non-coding RNA (1408 nucleotides) under Marmota monax (woodchuck). Lineage: Eukaryota; Metazoa; Chordata; Mammalia; Rodentia; Sciuridae. The record is from RNAcentral.
CUUGUCUUUUCUCCAGACAUGGACUCCUUUGUUUUGUUUUAUUUCAAAAGGUGACAAGGAAAGUGAUGCGAUCAUCUGGCUGCCCUCGUGUGGCUCCUCUGCCCAGUUCCCUCUCGCCCAGUCGGUGGGCGUUUCUGCCUCUUACAGAGGUUCACCGCCUCGGGUGCCGGUGAACUUUCCUGAAUCAUCAUGUUUAAGCGAUGAUUCUGCCAAACACUCAUUCUAGGUUCAGAGUCCUUUUCCUCUAGCUCCGAGGCGGCCACGCUCUCUCCUGCAGACCUCUGUGCGCCUGGGGACGGCCGUGUCUGGCUGUCUGGGUCACCUGCUUCCCCUCCUUGGCAGCUUCGGGAAGAUCUCAGUCUUGCAUUUUUCUUGUUUCUCAGCGAGGGAGGACUUCUCAUGGCUUCCUGUGGCGUUUGACAGGCCCGUCCACUCUGAGGCCCCCAUUGGAGUUUGGGGGUUCAUCUCUGCCCUGCUGUGACCUCCGCCCUCCCCGGGCUCUGUCGGCUUAUCUCCUCUGGGCUCUUCUCCUGAGCACCCUGACGCUGCUCCUCCACUGAGCACCCGCUCUCCAGCCCCGUGGCCUCUGCUGCCCGAUGGUUUCCUGCCCUCCGCACAGAAGCCUCCGUCUUCUCCCGCCAGCCUGGGCUCUGCUCUCAGAACACCCCCCCGUUUGCCGGCUAACCUUGGGAUGCCUUUCCCUGGGUGCUGACCGCUGGUGUUGAGCCCUCUGUGUGGACCUGCUCUGACCCCUGCAGGGUCUCCCCCUUGCUGUCACUGUUGCUGUGCUUGUUUGGGUCAUGGCCUGGAGAUUCCUUUGCUUACAAAUCCGUGUUUCUUUAAGGCAGAGCACCUCUGGCACUGGGCAAGGCUGUGGGUUCAGUCUCAGCAAAGAAUUUGUAGCAAUUUUCAUCAUAUAAUUAUAUAAACCCAACUGUGUGGAAGUGCAGCUAUCAAAAUCUCAGAAAAGAAAUUUUGGAAUAAUAAUGUAGACGGCCUUCCUCACACAGGCCUGGCCAGCUGCUGCCAGGCCCUGGUUUGUGGUGUUUCUGGAAAUCUGUGCUACCUGCCGGGGGCAAAGUCACAGACUGAGGGCCAUCUGCUGCAGACGUUGGCUCCCAUUAGCCGAAACACCUCGUUCCCUGGAUUUGAGGGAAACACAGUUGUGGUCUCUGCCACGGAAUACCUGGCCUCCAGGGCUGGGCCCUGCCCUGAGGUGGGCGUUCUCAGGGCCACGCUCCACAGGGCUCCCCUGGGACAGGCACAGCUCAAGAGCCCAGUUUUGGCAAGAAUCUCGCUGAGUCUGUUUAGCAAGAGCCCCUCCCCUGUGCGGUCUGGAGACCCUGCAGACCCUGGCAGUCUCAGCAAGACCCCGUUAGGACCAGCUGGCCAGGACCCCCUCCUGUGU